CUUGAACUUGUGAUCCUCUUGCCUCAGCCUCCCUGAUAGUUGGGAUUACAGGCAUGGGCUGCUGUGCUAGCCUGACUUGCCAAGUUCCUGUUUCCUUUCCUGUGGCUUCUGUUUUGUAGGCUGUUAGAAGUCCUAGAUUCUGGAAGGAAAACAGUAAUGACAUUUCAUGAACACUCUAAGUCUUGCAAAUGUGACAAAUUAUAAUGAAUUUAUAGAUAUAGAGGUUGGGAAAUCCAAUAUCAAGGUACCAGAAUCUGGCAGUGGCCUUACUGUGGCAUCACAUGGCAGAAAGGCAAAGAGAGCAAAUGCAGAAAGGGAUGCACCUACUUACCAGAGGGCAUUAAUCCAUCCAGGAGCUGCAUACCUCUUAAAAGUCCCAUGUCCCAGUACUGUCACAAUGGCAGUUAAGUUUCACCAUGAGUUUUGUAGAGGUUGGACAUUCAAACCAUAGCACUUGAUGGUAGUGAGAGAUGUUCAUACACUGUUUCUCUUCCUUUAUUUACCAUCAGCCUAGGAACUGCCACUCUUCCUCGUCUCCACCUGAUGCCUUGCCCUUGUACUUGGUCAUCAUUGUAGUUGGUCUUUGCUGAUCUUUUCUUUAACAACAAUAAGAACAAAAUCUAUUGCUUUUACAUACUAAAAAUGGGAACUUCUUAAGGUCAUUUAUUCAAAUUUCAGAAACCUAGAAUAUAUAAAAUACCAAACGUAAGAACACUGUGUGUUUUCGUUCUUGUAUCCUAUCACUCAUUCUUAGUUUUCUUAGUUUUCAUAUCAGGUUUCUCAGAUAUUAAAAUUCAUCCAGGUUUGAAUGUACAAUUAAAAGGAAUCAUGACAAAAAACAGUUGGAUUUUGUUGGGACUACAAAAUUGGUUCAAUAGCCAAAAAUGAUCUUCUCCUCUGGUAUAUUGUAUUAUUGUUACAGGUAUUGUGAUAGACACAGAAAAAGCAUUUGACAAAAUCUAUAUUCUUUGGUAAUAAAAGUAUUCAACAAACUAGGAAUGGAAUGGAACUUCCUUGGCCUGGUAAAGGAUAUCUAUGAAAUACCCUCAGCUAACAUCUUACUUCAGGGUGACAGACUGUAUGCUCUAGGGCUGGGGCUGGGGCUCAGUGGUAGAGUGUUU
RNAcentral lists this long non-coding RNA (1121 nucleotides) under Marmota monax (woodchuck). Lineage: Eukaryota; Metazoa; Chordata; Mammalia; Rodentia; Sciuridae. The record is from RNAcentral.